ACUAGCAGCUGCCAAAGCUCGACAACAAGGUAAUGGUGAAGUUGAACUUCCAGAUAGGGAUCGGGGAGCUGAGGCAACACCUAGUGGUGAAGAGGAACCUGCCUUGAUCAAACCUGAUUCAAAUAAUUCUACCCCAACUGGAGUUAGGCUGCAUCACCGUGCUGUGGUUGUAGCUGCAGAGACUGGGGGUGCCCUAGGUGGCAUGGUGCGACAACUUUCAAUUGAUCAAUUUGAAAAUGAAGGCAGGCGAGUAAGUUAUGGAACCCCAGAAAAUGCAACAGCAGCGAGAAAACUUUUGGAUAGGCAAAUG
RNAcentral lists this unclassified non-coding RNA (310 nucleotides) under Hevea brasiliensis (rubber tree). Lineage: Eukaryota; Viridiplantae; Streptophyta; Magnoliopsida; Malpighiales; Euphorbiaceae. The record is from RNAcentral.